GUGAGGAAUUUUCCGCAAUGGGCGAAAGCCUGACGGAGCAAUGCCACGUGAAGGAUGAAGGCCUAUGGGUUGUAAACUUCUUUUCUCAGAAAAGAAUUAUGACGGUAUCUGAGGAAUAAGCAUCGGCUAACUCUGUGCCAGCAGCCGCGGUAAGACAGGGGAUGCAAGCGUUAUCCGGAAUGAUUGGGCGUAAAGCGUCUGUAGGUUGUUUAAAAAGUAUUCUGUCAAAGAUUAGGGCUUAACCCUAGAUAGGCAGAAUAAACUUUUAAGCUAGAGUUUGGUAGAGGCAGAGGGAAUUCCCGGUGGAGCGGUGAAAUGCGUAGAUAUCGGGAGGAACACCAAAGGCGAAGGCACUCUGCUGGGCCAAUACUAACACUGAGAGACGAAAGCGAGGGGAGCAAAUGGGAUUAGAUACCCGGGUAGUCC
This 426-nucleotide ribosomal RNA is filed under the name uncultured bacterium. RNAcentral's name for it is "bacterial SSU rRNA". It matches the Rfam family "Bacterial small subunit ribosomal RNA", at positions 354 to 796 of the family's 1533-position model. The record is from RNAcentral.